This is a non-coding RNA of Salvelinus sp. IW2-2015, 2075 nucleotides long. NCBI's taxonomy places the organism in Eukaryota, Metazoa, Chordata, Actinopteri, Salmoniformes, Salmonidae. The record is from RefSeq and is a predicted model, not a curated record.
CCCCACCCCCCCAGAGGGCCUCCUCCCCCCCUCGCACCUCGAGGCCCACCAGGUCCCAGAGGCAACCAGGCAGAGCAGGACCUCAAGGCGAAGCAGCGAGCCGAGGUGCUCCAAUCGACUCAUAAAUUCUUCUCAGAGCAGCAACUCAAGGCUCCGUCAGUCUCCAAACCCUCUCGUCUCGACCAGGGGGGAGGCAAAUCCCCCCUCGACAUCCUGCCCCCCAACCACCAGACCGUAGGAGUCGUGGAGCGCCCUGAGCCCGACAAAUCCUCUCUGUCGGUGGGCAAGCCCAUCCGGACCGGCCCUAUCAAGCCCCAGGCCAUCAAACCAGAGGAGGGGAAGUAGAGCCUCAACAUUCUCCACAGAAGGCGAGGUGGAGAAAUAAUCCAGCUGCUCCACUCAUUCACACAAUCACUCGCUCUCACACAUCACCUGUGCUGUUGUUGGAGAGGGGGGGCGGGGAGAAAGGGAGGAGAGGUGGGGUGUGUAAGUCUGAAUGAGAGGGCUACUGUGUGUGCUCCCACCUCUCUCCCCCUCUCCUUCUCUCCUGUCCUCCACUAUUGGGGGUCUGUGUUUUCGGCGGAAGGCAGCACCGUAAGCUGUACUUCAAAUGUCUACCGCGAUGGUAGAAAAAGAGGAAGCGAAAAAAGAAAAGAUAUGAGAUUCGCUGCUGAGUUUGCCAUUUUUAUAGCUCUAUGAUUUCGGUUCCUUUCCUUUUCUCAGUUGAAUCACAUGAAGACAGGGCUCUUCUUUUUGUUAACAAAAGAAUGUAUCAAUCUUUUGUUUUUGUAGUUGAACAAACAAUCUUAUUUAAAGCGAUGUCUUUUAGUGAAGCACAGACACGUUCUAUUCCCCUGCCUGUCCUCCCAUCAUUACUAYCACAGAGCUAUGUGAGUGUGUACAAUCUCUGCAUGAUCACCACACACACCUUCCCCCUAGUGCUCAAAGGUUUCACCAAUAUUACUUAAAGAGAAACUGAAGUAAUUCAGUUUUUUUUUUUUUUCUAGAGAGGAAAUGUAAGAUGCAGCAGUUGAUCGAUUGAUUUAUUGAUACGUCUGCCUUCCCUCCUGCUUUCUGCUCUCAUUUCUUUGCCUGACAUGGUGGUGUAUGGGUGUGUAUGUGUUUUUGUGUUUUGCGUGUUGCACACGUGGGCAGGCUAUUGUCCAGGUUCUCUUUAUCUUUAGCCAAAGGUUGAGCAGCGCAAAGAUGUCACAGAGCCUUUGGAAAUCCCCGUUGCUAUGGCAGCAGAGUGGAAGGGGAGUUAUUAUGGGUUGUCGGUAAACCCUGAAUCCAGUCUAGGGAUAAGUCUCACACACUCCCCUCUUCCAUUUCCCUCCCAGCCUCCCUCAAGAGUAAGGAGAGUAGAAUACACCUAUAAUACACUCCUCCACCACCGUUCACACACCCCUCCUCGGUGUCUCUCAUACACACACUUUACUGUAGGGCACCCUACCCUGCUGCUACUGACAGAAAGAGAGAGUGAGUACUGGUGCCCUUAGCCAGGACACACAGCAGGAGAGGGCUAGAGAGUGGUGGAGGGUUUCAUUUUAAAAACUGUAGAAACAGAAAAUCAUUCAGUGUGGCAUUCUGUUAACCCUCACCAAAAGGAAAAGAGACUGACCGAGAGGGGGAGGAAGAGAACAGCAUGAGAAAAAAGCCUCCAGAUUUGAACUGUAGUCUAUGGUUCUGCUGUGUUCCGGGGCAGAAGGACAGGUGUUAGUGUUGAGAGGAGAGAUCGUCCCUGUCUUCUCCUGUCUCUCCAGCUCACUUAGUCUCACUCAAGCCUACACCGCUCACUCAUCUCGGGUUUACCAUGGUGAGAAGGGUCCUUCAGAAAUGUACAGUAGUAUGCUCCCCUAGUGGGUAGGGGCCUAUGGAGCCAGUUGGCCCACUCUAACCAGAACAUGGAAUGAGAAUUGUGUAGGAGGGAGUGGUGGAGAGUGUGAUCAUGAUGAUAAUUAGUUUAGUUUUACUUGUACAGGGGGUACAUCGCUGUAUUAAAAUAUGUACGGUCUUAUUUACAUUCUUGGUUUGGUUAAAGAAACUAAUAAAAUAAUAUGCUGUUAAAAAGUGAA